UACGUAGGCAGCGAGCGUUGUUCGGAGUUACUGGGCGUAAAGCGUGCGUAGGCGGUGGUCCAAGUCUGGUGUGAAAUCUCCCGGCUUAACUGGGAGGGUGCGCCGGAAACUGGGCCGCUGGAGUACGGGAGAGGCAAGCGGAAUUCCAGGUGUAGCGGUGAAAUGCGUAGAUAUCUGGAGGAACACCCGUGGUGCAGACGGCUUGCUGGACCGUGACUGACGCUGAGGCGCGAAAGCCAGGGGAGCGAACGGG
Molecule: ribosomal RNA, 253 nt
Filed under: uncultured bacterium
Lineage: Bacteria
Description: partial 16S ribosomal RNA
Rfam family: Bacterial small subunit ribosomal RNA
Source: RNAcentral